Molecule: ribosomal RNA, 760 nt
Filed under: Peribacillus asahii
Lineage: Bacteria; Bacillati; Bacillota; Bacilli; Caryophanales; Bacillaceae
Description: bacterial SSU rRNA
Rfam family: Bacterial small subunit ribosomal RNA
Source: RNAcentral
UAUACAUGCAAGUCGAGCGAAUCAAUGGGAGCUUGCUCCCUGAGAUUAGCGGCGGACGGGUGAGUAACACGUGGGUAACCUGCCUGUAAGACUGGGAUAACUUCGGGAAACCGGAGCUAAUACCGGAUAGUUUCUUUUCUCGCAUGAGAGAAGAUGGAAAGAUGGUUUCGGCUAUCACUUACAGAUGGACCCGCGGCGCAUUAGCUAGUUGGUGAGGUAACGGCUCACCAAGGCGACAAUGCGUAGCCGACCUGAGAGGGUGAUCGGCCACACUGGGACUGAGACACGGCCCAAACUCCUACGGGAGGCAGCAGUAGGGAAUCUUCCGCAAUGGACGAAAGUCUGACGGAGCAACGCCGCGUGAGCGAAGAAGGCCUUCGGGUCGUAAAGCUCUGUUGUUAGGGAAGAACAAGUACGAGAGUAACUGCUCGUACCUUGACGGUACCUAACCAGAAAGCCACGGCUAACUACGUGCCAGCAGCCGCGGUAAUACGUAGGUGGCAAGCGUUGUCCGGAAUUAUUGGGCGUAAAGCGCGCGCAGGCGGUCCUUUAAGUCUGAUGUGAAAGCCCACGGCUCAACCGUGGAGGGUCAUUGGAAACUGGGGGACUUGAGUGCAGAAGAGGAGAGUGGAAUUCCACGUGUAGCGGUGAAAUGCGUAGAGAUGUGGAGGAACACCAGUGGCGAAGGCGACUCUCUGGUCUGUAACUGACGCUGAGGCGCGAAAGCGUGGGGAGAAAACAGGAUUAGAUACCCUGGUAG